Molecule: ribosomal RNA, 243 nt
Filed under: uncultured bacterium
Lineage: Bacteria
Description: partial 16S ribosomal RNA
Rfam family: Bacterial small subunit ribosomal RNA
Source: RNAcentral
UGGCAAGCGUUAUCCGGAUUUAUUGGGCGUAAAGGGAGCGUAGGCGGGUUGUUAAGUCAGUUGUGAAAGUUUGCGGCUCAACCGUAAAAUUGCAGUUGAUACUGGCAUCCUUGAGUACAGUAGAGGUAGGCGGAAUUCGUGGUGUAGCGGUGAAAUGCUUAGAUAUCACGAAGAACUCCGAUUGCGAAGGCAGCCUGCUGGACUGUAACUGACGCUGAUGCUCGAAAGUGUGGGUAUCAAACA